ACCUUCAGAUUCAGAUUUAUAAGGCACAUUAUUACUUAUAAAACAAGGAGGCCUCUCUGGAAGCUAAGCAGGAUCGGGCCUGGUAGUACUUAGAUGGGAGACCACCUAGGAAGACCAGGUGCUGUAGGUG
RNAcentral lists this ribosomal RNA (130 nucleotides) under Pteropus vampyrus (large flying fox). The record is from RNAcentral. Lineage: Eukaryota; Metazoa; Chordata; Mammalia; Chiroptera; Pteropodidae.